GACGAACGCUGGCGGCGUGCCUAAUACAUGCAAGUCGAACGCACGAAGUUGAAGAGCUUGCUCUUUAACCAAGUGAGUGGCGGACGGGUGAGUAACACGUGGGUAACCUGCCCAUUAGAGGGGGAUAACAUUCGGAAACGGAUGCUAAUACCGCAUAGUUUCAGGAAUCGCAUGAUUCUUGAAGGAAAGGUGGCUUCGGCUACCACUAAUGGAUGGACCCGCGGCGUAUUAGCUAGUUGGUGAGGUAAUGGCUCACCAAGGCAAUGAUACGUAGCCGACCUGAGAGGGUGAUCGGCCACACUGGGACUGAGACACGGCCCAGACUCCUACGGGAGGCAGCAGUAGGGAAUCUUCCGCAAUGGACGAAAGUCUGACGGAGCAACGCCGCGUGAGUGAAGAAGGUUUUCGGAUCGUGAAACUCUGUUGUUAAAGAAGAACAAGGAUGGGAGUAACUGCUCAUCCCCUGACGGUAUUUAACCAGAAAGCCACGGCUAACUACGUGCCAGCAGCCGCGGUAAUACGUAUGGGGCGAGCGUUGUCCGGAAUUAUUGGGCGUAAAGGGUACGUAGGCGGCCUUUUAAGUCAGGUGUGAAAGCGUGAGGCUUAACCUCAUUAAGCACUUGAAACUGGAAGACUUGAGCGAAGGAGAGGAAAGUGGAAUUCCUAGUGUAGCGGUGAAAUGCGUAGAUAUUAGGAGGAAUACCGGUGGCGAAGGCGACUUUCUGGACUUUUACUGACGCUCAGGUACGAAAGCGUGGGGAGCAAACAGG
Molecule: ribosomal RNA, 770 nt
Filed under: uncultured Carnobacterium sp.
Lineage: Bacteria; Bacillati; Bacillota; Bacilli; Lactobacillales; Carnobacteriaceae
Description: bacterial SSU rRNA
Rfam family: Bacterial small subunit ribosomal RNA
Source: RNAcentral